GGUGGAUGCCUUGGCAUCAGGAGCCGAAGAAGGACGUGGGAAUCUGCGAUAAGCCUGGGGGAGUUGAUAACCGAACUUUGAUCCCAGGAUGUCCGAAUGGGGAAACCCCGCCCGGCGCGCGAGUGACCGGGUGACCCGUAUCUGAACACAUAGGGUACGUGGAGGGAACGUGGGGAAGUGAAACAUCUCAGUACCCACAGGAAGAGAAAACAAUAGUGAUUCCGUUAGUAGUGGCGAGCGAAAGCGGAACAGGCUAAACCAGUGGUGUGUGAUAGCCGGCGGGCGUUGCAUCACUGGGGUUGUGGGACUUUCCGUUCCAGUUCUGCCGGACUGGUGAAAUGAGUGCGUGCGUAUAGGUGAACGGGUUUGAAAGCCCGGCCGGAGAGGGUGUUAGUCCCGUAACCGUAAUGCGUGACGCCGUUUGGAGAGGAUCCCAAGUAGCACGGGGCCCGAGAAAUCCCGUGCGAAUCUGCCAGGACCACCUGGUAAGCCUAAAUACUCCCUGAUGACCGAUAGCGGACCAGUACCGUGAGGGAAAG
Molecule: ribosomal RNA, 539 nt
Filed under: uncultured Chaetoceros
Lineage: Eukaryota; Bacillariophyta; Thalassiosirophyceae; Chaetocerotales; Chaetocerotaceae
Description: partial Bacterial large subunit ribosomal RNA
Rfam family: Bacterial large subunit ribosomal RNA
Source: RNAcentral